CCUUUGCUGAUGAGUCACUUCUUGACUUUCGUUCUUCUGAGCUUGCUGAAGCCACGCUUACUGACCUGAGGAGG
RNAcentral lists this small nucleolar RNA (74 nucleotides) under Leptosomus discolor (cuckoo roller). RNAcentral's name for it is "Small nucleolar RNA SNORD59". It matches the Rfam family "Small nucleolar RNA SNORD59". Rfam says of the family: U59 belongs to the C/D class of snoRNA which contain the C (UGAUGA) and D (CUGA) box motifs. Lineage: Eukaryota; Metazoa; Chordata; Aves; Leptosomiformes; Leptosomidae. The record is from Rfam by way of RNAcentral.